This is a small nuclear RNA of Cryptomeria japonica (Japanese cedar), 158 nucleotides long. RefSeq annotates it as U1 spliceosomal RNA. The record is from RefSeq and is a predicted model, not a curated record. Lineage: Eukaryota; Viridiplantae; Streptophyta; Pinopsida; Cupressales; Cupressaceae. The transcript has a single exon.
UUGAGGACCUAAACUAACUAUCGGUGAUCAGGAAGGCCGAUGGCCUAGGGAGAGCACAUUUAUUGCACUGAGAAGGGGGCUCUGCCUAGCAUCUCCCUACGCGGAGAGUGCACGUCAUAAUUUGUGAAAGCGGGGGCUUGCGUCUGCGUGGUCCCCAA